RNAcentral lists this long non-coding RNA (817 nucleotides) under Varroa destructor (honeybee mite). RNAcentral describes it as "uncharacterized LOC111247952, transcript variant X7". Lineage: Eukaryota; Metazoa; Arthropoda; Arachnida; Mesostigmata; Varroidae. The record is from RNAcentral.
CAGUCGAAGGCCACGAGAAAGGACACAUUACAGCUUUGGUGCGCAGUGAACAGACAGAGCUUAUAGCUUUUCCGCUGCCGGCCAAUUCAGCAUUUGAAAAUGAUAUGAAGUGUCUGGACUUAUCUUCUUCGUGGUGAAAAAAGAAAGUCUUCUGUGAUCUACGUCCGAUACCUAAGCCGUUAAGUAGUGCCGAAACGGUUGGCUCUUAGCGCGAAAUGACGUGUGCCUACGCCUGCAUUCUAACCCAGAUCACCACGUAUCCUUAAGCUUAGCAGGCCAAUACGUUACCCACUGCGUAAUUACGGAAAUAAUCACUAGGUGAUAUAUAUGUAUAUGUUAGUUUUACAAGCAAAUCUGGCCGACUUUGAAAUCGAAUAACUUUUGAACUACGCGCUCUGAAUUUUGGCUGGUGAAUACUCCAAUCGUCUAGAAACUAGUCUCAGCGACCCACUAACAUUUUUAUGACCGGAUGAUGGAUGUGAACCCUUCAUACCGUUCCCUAGGGACAAUCUCAUUUCUACUGACAUGUGCCCUUCUCGGAUAUGGAUGAGCGCCGUACAGGUAGCGCUUGUUGGAUGUGCCACUGGGCUCUUUUCCACGCGGACAAGUUGUGGCGGAGGUUCGAAUCGGGGCGUAGACACACGGUUCGUUUCUUGCUGGCAAGGGCCAGCUGUCUGUCUGCUGCAAUACCAACUUACCGGACGUUAAACUCGAAACAUAGAGGUUAAGAGCGUUCUCUUUCAUCUGGUGAGGUUGUAGGGGCGGCAUACCCUGCCGCCUAUGAUCGUCCACACAAUUAGAUGGAAGAGGCAUAUUA